This 806-nucleotide long non-coding RNA is filed under the name Panax ginseng (ginseng). Its description in RNAcentral is "long non-coding RNA (PGIN_LNC008727)". Lineage: Eukaryota; Viridiplantae; Streptophyta; Magnoliopsida; Apiales; Araliaceae. The record is from RNAcentral.
UUCGAAAAAGCUCAAUCAAAAACACCCAUUUCUAAAUUUCUAACACCCAAUUCCCAAAAUUCCCUAACAAAAGAGAAAAAUGGACAUCAGGCUAAUGGGAUUCGACGCACCACUCUUCCAAACUCUCCACCACAUCCUGGACGACUCUGCCACCGCUGACGACAACAAGUCCGCUGCCAAUCACCCCAGCCGCUCCUACGUCCGCGACGCCAAGGCAAUGGCGGCUACACCCGCUGACGUCAAGGAAUACCCCAACUCAUACGCCUUCAUCAUCGAUAUGCCGGGGCUGAAAUCGGGGGAUAUUAAGGUUCAGGUGGAGGACGACAAUGUGCUUGUGAUUAGUGGAGAGAGAAAGCGGGAGGAAGAGAAGGAAGGGGCGAAGUUCGUGAGAAUGGAGAGGAGGAUCGGAAAGUUUAUGAGGAAGUUUGUGCUGCCUGAGAACGCGAAUACUGAAGCAAUUUCCGCCGUUUGUCAGGACGGUGUAUUGACUGUGACAGUGGAGAAAUUGCCACCACCGGAGCCGAAGAUGCCCAAGACUAUUGAAGUCAAAGUUGCUUAAUUGAGUGGUCAGAGGAGAGAUGGUGCUUUUUUUUCUUUUUUCUUUUGUUAAUUGUGCCGUGUUUUAGUGCUAAUAAUGGUUGGAGUUAUGAGUGGGUUAUUGUGAUUUGAGAUUAAUGGGCUUUGUAUGUGAGCAAGUUUAUGAUUUUCUUAUGAAAAGAUUAGCUUGCAAAUGAAUAUGAUUGGCAAAAUUAAUGAUUUUGUCAUCAAAGUUUGGCACGUUUUAUUGAAUAUUCGAUUGAAUUUUU